GUCUACGGCCAUACCACCCUGAACGCACCAGAUCUCAUCUGAUCUCAGAAGCUAAGCAGGGUCAGGCCUGGUUAGUACUUGGAUGGGAGGAAAAGUAUAGAGGCAGACA
Molecule: ribosomal RNA, 109 nt
Filed under: Prolemur simus (greater bamboo lemur)
Lineage: Eukaryota; Metazoa; Chordata; Mammalia; Primates; Lemuridae
Source: RNAcentral